Molecule: long non-coding RNA, 3710 nt
Organism: Petromyzon marinus (sea lamprey)
Lineage: Eukaryota; Metazoa; Chordata; Hyperoartia; Petromyzontiformes; Petromyzontidae
Source: RefSeq, a predicted model, not a curated record
CCGCGAGCCUCCUUCCCGCGCUCCCCGCGUCGUUGCGACCCGUCCUCUUACACCUCUUUCCCUUCUGUAUUCCAGCGUGAGUUUUUUUUUUUACUUUACAUUCCGCCACGGUUUUUGAAGCUCCGUGUGAAAAAUCGCUCGCACUCCGAGUCCCGCGGCGCGACGGUGGGCCCCCCCCCCCCCACCCUCGGCUUUAUUCUUUGAGCCGAGGGUCUCGUUUUGUGCACAGCGCGUCGCCGCGAUGCGCUCGCUCGCGCGUCCGUUAGGGUCCCUCUUUAGGGUGUCGUUGAAAACGCCCGACGUUUGUUUUUUUUUUGUUUGUCAGGUCCUGGCAUCGAUUGCCCAACGGGAUGUUGUUUGUCGUCGCGCGUGGACUUUUUUUGCUUGCAUUCGAUUGAGAUGCCUUGAGUGGUUUUCGAACGGCAGUUGCAGUCGAUGUAAUGAAGUCCUCACGUGUGGGUUAUUUUCUUAAACUGAACCGACGGAAACUCACGUCCGUAAUCAUUUACAAGCGCGCGUCAAUCCACUGCUGAGUGGAGGCCUGCCCAUGAUGCCACGUCUGCCGCGGGGAUUGUUUGACCGUACUUCGCCGCCUGCGUCCGUGUGGAUGGUCAGUGCAGAGUUGGCCUACACAACGGACUUCGCGAUUCACCUUCCAUCCACUCGCGGCGGUGGCGGUGGCGGGUGAGGCCCAGAGCGGAGGGUUACCCGUCGGUGUUUGCAGAAUCUCGCGAAUGGGAAAGGCCGCAGCUGCUUCGAGCGGCACGGUGGUUUGCAAGUGUUGAUGUCUGCGGCGCAGAGAAUAAACAGCCCGGGGCCCAGCGUGAGUCGUUGUUUUGACAUGCCUUGAAUAAUUAACUGUAAACUGACCUCAAAUAUAACACCACAAAAAAAUGUUAUACACGCACACAACUUGCCAAUUUCAGAUUUUUUUUUUACUAAUUAAAAUGUUUGGCCUCUUUUUUUUUGCUUUCUUGAAGUUCACAUUCAUCUUAAUAAUUACCCAUGUCAACAGUUCAUGUAUUUUCUUUUAAAUGUGCUAAAUUUUCAUUUUGAGAGCAUUUACGUUUAUGUAAAUAAUGCCUUCUGUAGGGGCGCUUCCAACAGAGCCUGGGACGAGAGCAUUACUCAACACCACUACAUCAAAUAUAAUAUUUAAAAGUAUAUAUUUUCAAUAGAUACAUAUGCGGGGUAAUGAUCAACACGCCGGGCUUGCAAUCCGGAGGCUGCCGGUUCGAUUCCAUCUUCCGGCAUAGCAGUUUAAAAAAACAGGGAAGUUAAAUCACCCGAGCAAGCAGUACACAUGGGUUCACCGCAGUUAAUCGACCAGCUGGUCACGAGCGGUGGGGCAAAGUGUGGGGACGCCCACCCCUUCCACAGUGUUGGAUCAACGUGGAGGUGUAGGCCAAAUACCCUCUCAGAGUUCCCUCCGGUGGAGCACCCUUCCGCCGGCAGUGGCGUGAGCGAGCAAUUGGAGGUCCUCACCUUUACCUUUUUAUAUAUAAACAACUUCAUUUAUUGCUAAAUAAUAUCACGUACAAUUAGACGAUAGAGCAAAGCGGUGGCAUCGUGGUUUGCGCGCUGACCUUUGAACCUGAGAGUUGAGCUCAAAAACAGAGGACACUUGACCGAAGCACAUGGAACUACAUUUGAAAGGUGCACACGGCAGACGCAUGCUGGGGAUUUGUACUGAAGAGACGGACAGAGGAUUACUCGGAACAGAGAACAAACAUAAAUUUAGAAACGAAAGAGGCGCGCACAAGAAAAGCACCACGUACGCUGGGAACCACCACAGAUUAGAGACGUCGUAUUCACUGUUCGGGAAAGCAAGUGGGAUCAGGCAGGACACUUAGGAGGGAUGUUAGCCGAUGGUCAAGAAUGCUGAUGGAACGGCAGCCAAAGGAGAGAGGCCGCGUUGAUUUCAGGGCACGAGCGGCGGCCACAGGGAGAGGACGACCGGCGCGGAGACGGAGCGAGGAGCCCGGCUCGGCACGCGGCAGCUCGGCGGGGCUGCGGCACCGCUGGCGCCCGCGAGGUGAUGCCCACGACCACGGGGAUGCCUACGUCGUCCAGCAGCAGGUAGAAAAAAAAGUCAAGUCGGCGGCGACGAGAAAACAUCGAGACGACGGGGCCUGCCGUCCUGAACGCCGCUCGGCGAGCGGAUGGGGGAGGGGAGAGACGAACGCUCCCCCCGGUGUCCCGCGCAACACCUCCGCUCCAUCACCUGCACUGUAUUUGUCGUCCCCAUCGGUCACGCGGUGCAUGAACCUGCCGCGCGGUAAUUUUUUUUCUUCUUCCCCCCCCCCCACACCCGGCCGAUCCUCCUCCUCCUCCUCCUGCCGUGUCGUGACAAGAGCGGCGCGCGGGGGCGUGACGCCGCUGUAAUGCGGCUGUCGGAAUCGAGCGCCAUCCUCCCCGUCACCGUCCCGUUCGCCUCUCAUUCCCCGCCGCUCAGCCGCGACUGUGCGUAAUGGGGUUCCCGCACUCUCGCCCCCCCUCCCCCCCUCUCCCUCUCAAGAGUCCUGAUGCGCAUUAACGUCGGGAGAGAUUCCGCCGAACAUGCAGCGCGCGUGACUUACGCCGGCCUCCCCCUCCCGCCCCACCUCUCCGCUGAAAAAUGAGCGAGGUUCACCUGGGUGUGGAAAUUGGAGUAAAGGGGAAAGUAGGAAGGGGGGGGGUGGAGAAAGUCAGUUUCGCUGCUCGGUUCGUUGGCUUCCGAGCGUUUAGCGCGCAGGCGACGCGGCGGCGGCGGUGCCGCGUCGGAUUUGAGGAGCGGCGAGAUCGCCGUGCGAGCGGAUCGCUCGGACGCAGCAAAGACGCGCGGCAGGCAUUACGCGUUACGGCCGACGCGAACUGCGUCUGGGGAGUGUUAGUUGGCGUGUGAAAUUGGACGUGACGGGAGAAAGCGAGAGCCGCUAAAUGUUGCAGAAUCUAACGAGCGAGGAGCGAAAAGGGCCCUACCCCCUUACCCCCUCCCCCGAUCCCCCCUGAUCCCCCCUGAUCCCCCAGCCCCUUCAACCCCCAACGCCGUCCCAGACGGUAAACUAAGAGCUCUUUCAACACCAUCACCUUCCGGCCACGUCAAAGCAGAAGACGUCGGCGCGCGUGCCGAUCGGCAAGGGCUUAAAUCAUUCGUUUCAUUUAACAAAAUUUUUAUAAAUCAAUUAAAAUGAGAUCAGUUGGUGUUAAAUUGAGUUGGCGGGGGGGGGGUAUUUGUUGCCCCAAACACAUUGGGUGAGUAAAUCCAAGGUCCCUUUUUUGCCCUCGACUCCCACGCCUAUCAACGCUUAACGUUUAAGACGAUAAUUGAAAGGUGCAGAGUGUAUAGCUGGGUGCAGAGGUGCAGUGGGGAGAUGGGGGGGGGGAAAGGAGCGAUUGCCCCAACAUUUUCUGCGAUGAAGAAGAGGCCCAUUGCUUGAAACGUCAACAACCGUAUAUAAUUUUCCCACAUUUAUCCGCAGCGUCAGCGACGAACGCGUUUGCCUUGUCGCCGCACGUCUUCGACAACGUUUGGAGAUUUUUGUUUUGUUUCAGUGUGAAAAAAUAAACAAAAAAAUCGAGAAUGGUCGGGCGUUCGUGACGUCUAUUUCAUUCUGCGCACGCUCACUGUCGCACAAUGCACACAUGCAUGUUGGACUUAUUUCGCACCGUACGUAGCCAAGGAACGGAGAGUCUGAAUUUUGAAUCCCCUUUGGAAGGGAAACAAUUUU